This 549-nucleotide ribosomal RNA is filed under the name uncultured archaeon. RNAcentral's name for it is "bacterial SSU rRNA". It matches the Rfam family "Archaeal small subunit ribosomal RNA", at positions 331 to 879 of the family's 1478-position model. The record is from RNAcentral.
UGCAGCAGGCGCGAAAACUUUACAAUGCUGGAAACCGUGAUAAGGGGACAUCGAGUGCCAGGUUCCUAUUCUGGCUGUCCGGAUGUGUAAAAUACAUUUGUUAGCAAGGGCCGGGCAAGACCGGUGCCAGCCGCCGCGGUAACACCGGCGGCUCGAGUGGUGAUCGUUAUUAUUGGGUCUAAAGGGUCUGUAGCCGGUUUGAUCAGUCUUUCGGGAAAUCUGAUAGCUCAACUGUUAGGCUUUCGGGAGAUACUGUCUGGCUUGAAACCGGGAGAGGUAAGAGGUACUUCAGGGGUAGGAGUGAAAUCUUGUAAUCCUUGUGGGACCACCUGUGGCGAAGGCGUCUUACCAGAACGGAUCUGACGGUAAGGGACGAAAGCUGGGGGCACGAACCGGAUUAGAUACCCCGGGUAGUCCUAGCCGUAAACGAUACUCGCUAGGUGUCAGGCAUGGUGCGACCGUGUCUGGUGCCGUAGGGAAGCCGUGAAGCGAGCCACCUGGGAAGUACGGCCGNCAGGCUGAAACUUAAAGGAAUUGGCGGGGGAGCAC